RNAcentral lists this ribosomal RNA (689 nucleotides) under Pedobacter sp. 76_b_1_2. RNAcentral describes it as "bacterial SSU rRNA". It matches the Rfam family "Bacterial small subunit ribosomal RNA", at positions 57 to 746 of the family's 1533-position model. Lineage: Bacteria; Pseudomonadati; Bacteroidota; Sphingobacteriia; Sphingobacteriales; Sphingobacteriaceae. The record is from RNAcentral.
GCAAGUCGAGGGGUAGGGUUAGCUUGCUAACCUGAGACCGGCGCACGGGUGCGUAACGCGUAUGCAACCUACCUUCAUCAGGGGGAUAGCCCGGAGAAAUCCGGAUUAACACCGCAUGAAAUCACAGUACGGCAUCGUACAAUGAUCAAACAUUUAUGGGAUGGAGAUGGGCAUGCGUGUCAUUAGUUAGUUGGCGGGGUAACGGCCCACCAAGACCGCGAUGACUAGGGGAUCUGAGAGGAUGACCCCCCACACUGGUACUGAGACACGGACCAGACUCCUACGGGAGGCAGCAGUAAGGAAUAUUGGUCAAUGGGCGAGAGCCUGAACCAGCCAUGCCGCGUGCAGGAAGACGGCCCUCUGGGUUGUAAACUGCUUUUACUCGGGAAUAAACCUAUCUACGUGUAGAUAGCUGAAUGUACCGAGGGAAUAAGGAUCGGCUAACUCCGUGCCAGCAGCCGCGGUAAUACGGAGGAUCCAAGCGUUAUCCGGAUUUAUUGGGUUUAAAGGGUGCGUAGGCGGCCUGUUAAGUCAGGGGUGAAAGACGGUAGCUCAACUAUCGCAGUGCCCUUGAUACUGAUGGGCUUGAAUGGACUAGAGGUAGGCGGAAUGUGACAAGUAGCGGUGAAAUGCAUAGAUAUGUCACAGAACACCGAUUGCGANNNAGCUUACUAUGGUCCUAUUGACGC